GACGAACGCUGGCGGCGUGCUUAACACAUGCAAGUCGAACGGAAAGGCCCUGCUUUUGUGGGGUGCUCGAGUGGCGAACGGGUGAGUAACACGUGAGUAACCUGCCCUUGACUUUGGGAUAACUUCAGGAAACUGGGGCUAAUACCGGAUAGGAGCUCCUGCUGCAUGGUGGGGGUUGGAAAGUUUCGGCGGUUGGGGAUGGACUCGCGGCUUAUCAGCUUGUUGGGGGGGUAGUGGCUUACCAAGGCUUUGACGGGUAGCCGGCCUGAGAGGGUGACCGGCCACAUUGGGACUGAGAUACGGCCCAGACUCCUACGGGAGGCAGCAGUGGGGAAUAAUGCACAAUGGGCGGAAGCCUGAUGCAGCAACGCCGCGUGCGGGAUGACGGCCUUCGGGUUGUAAACCGCUUUCGCCUGCGACGAAGCGUGAGUGACGGUAAUGGGUAAAGAAGCACCGGCUAACUACGUG
This 468-nucleotide ribosomal RNA is filed under the name uncultured bacterium. Its description in RNAcentral is "partial 16S ribosomal RNA". It matches the Rfam family "Bacterial small subunit ribosomal RNA", at positions 28 to 507 of the family's 1533-position model. The record is from RNAcentral.